UACGUAGGGGGCUAGCGUUGUCCGGAUUUAUUGGGCGUAAAGAGCGUGUAGGCGGCCAGGUAGGUCGGUUGUGAAAACUGGAGGCUCAACCUUCAGAGGUCGACCGAAACCAUCUGGCUAGAGUCCGGGAGAGGAGAGUGGAAUUCCUGGUGUAGCGGUGAAAUGCGCAGAUAUCAGGAGGAACACCGGUGGCGAAGGCGGUUCUCUGGGCAUGAUCUGACGCUGAGGAGCGAAAGUGUGGGGAGCGAACAGG
Molecule: ribosomal RNA, 253 nt
Filed under: uncultured bacterium
Lineage: Bacteria
Description: partial 16S ribosomal RNA
Rfam family: Bacterial small subunit ribosomal RNA
Source: RNAcentral